AUGUUGAGUAACAAUAGAUUCUCUGGCAACUUCCCAUCGGUUCUAAAAAAUUGUGGACAAUUGAAGGCUCUAGAUUUGUCACGUAAUAGUUUUUCUGGAAAGUUGCCAUUGUGGAUUGGAGAUUUGGUUGAAUUACGAUUUUUGCGGCUAAACCAGAAUAAGUUUUCCGGAGAAAUCCCAGCCACCAUCUCAAAUCUUAAUCGCCUUCACCAUCUGAACCUAGCAGGAAAUGACUUAUCUGGCGGCAUACCGAGGCAUCUGCCAAAUGUGACGGCCAUGACAAGAAAGCUUGAUUCAGAACCUAUUGACGGUUACCCAGAAAUAGUUGGUACAUAUGAUUUUUCCUCUGUGGUCGUCAAGGGACGGGAACUUAAUUAUAGUAUUGGCAUUUUGGAAUUGGUGAGCAUUGACUUAUCUUUCAACCAACUGUCUGGGAGAAUACUAGAAGAAUUAGUUGCUCUUGAUGCGUUGAUGAACUUGAAUCUAUCAUGUAACCACUUGAGUGGGAAAAUUCCAAUUAAGCUUGGGGCCUUGCAGGCUUUGGAAUCACUUGACCUCUCAAGGAACAUGCUUUCUGGUGGAAUCCCUUCAAGCCUAUCAGAUAUAACCUAUUUGAGCUACUUAGACUUGUCUGAUAACAAUCUAACAGGGAGAAUACCACCAGGACGUCAGCUUGACACCCUCUACACCCAGCAACCUUUCAUGUACAAUGGCAACAAUGGUCUAUGUGGCCCUCCUCUUCCAAACAGUUGCCCCGGAAAGAAUGCAACAACACAAGAUGAUCCAAAAAGGAAUGAUCAUUCCUUUGAGCCAAUGACCUUUUAUUUUGGACUCGCUCUGGGAUUUAUUCUAGGUCUUUGGGUUGUGUUCUGCAUCAUGUUGCUUAAGAAAGCAUGGAGAAUUGCUUAUUUCCGUGUGGUUGACAGGACAUAUGAUCAGAUGUAUGUAUUUGCCGUUCUUACAUGGCAAAGCUGGGCCAGCAAGGGAGCUACAAAUUGA
Molecule: ribosomal RNA, 999 nt
Filed under: Triticum aestivum (bread wheat)
Lineage: Eukaryota; Viridiplantae; Streptophyta; Magnoliopsida; Poales; Poaceae
Description: partial small subunit ribosomal RNA
Source: RNAcentral